AGUGAACGCUGGCGGUAGGCCUAACACAUGCAAGUCGAACGGCAGCACAGUAAGAGCUUGCUCUUACGGGUGGCGAGUGGCGGACGGGUGAGGAAUACAUCGGAAUCUACUUUUUCGUGGGGGAUAACGUAGGGAAACUUACGCUAAUACCGCAUACGACCUACGGGUGAAAGCAGGGGAUCUUCGGACCUUGCGCGAUUGAAUGAGCCGAUGUCGGAUUAGCUAGUUGGCGGGGUAAAGGCCCACCAAGGCGACGAUCCGUAGCUGGUCUGAGAGGAUGAUCAGCCACACUGGAACUGAGACACGGUCCAGACUCCUACGGGAGGCAGCAGUGGGGAAUAUUCGACAAUGGGCGCAAGCCUGAUCCAGCCAUACCGCGUGGGUGAUGAAGGCCUUCGGGUUGUAAAGCCCUUUUGUUAGGAAAGAAAAGCAGCAGAUGAAUACCCCGCUGUUCUGACGGUACCCAAAGAACAAGCACCGGCUAACUUCGUG
RNAcentral lists this ribosomal RNA (492 nucleotides) under uncultured bacterium. RNAcentral describes it as "partial 16S ribosomal RNA". It matches the Rfam family "Bacterial small subunit ribosomal RNA", at positions 29 to 507 of the family's 1533-position model. The record is from RNAcentral.